Molecule: unclassified non-coding RNA, 365 nt
Filed under: uncultured fungus
Lineage: Eukaryota; Fungi
Description: sequence contains ITS1
Rfam family: 5.8S ribosomal RNA (bases 1-107)
Source: RNAcentral
GAAAUGCGAUACUUGGUGUGAAUUGCAGAAUCCCGUGAACCAUCGAGUCUUUGAACGCAAGUUGCGCCCGAAGCCACUAGGCCGAGGGCACGUCUGCCUGGGCGUCACACGCCGUUGCCCCCAUGUGCACUGCCAAAAGCGUGUUCAGGAGGGGCGGAGACUGGCUUCCCAUGAGCAUUGCCUUGUGGUUGGCCUAAAUUCGAGUCGUCGGCCGCAAUCGCCUCGACAUUCGGUGGUUUUCGAUUAUAUCGGUGCCCCGUCGUGCGCGAAUCCGUGACCGACUAGACCCGUACGACCCCAAUGUGCUGCGAACGCAGUGCCUUCAACGCGACCCCAGGUCAGGCGGGAUCACCCGCUGAAUUUAA